UAAAACAUUACAAAACCAAACAAACCACAUACCAUUGGUUUAAUGAAACAUAUCAAAACCAAACAAACCACAUACCAUUGAAGGGAAAGGCAGGUUAAAACCAAACACACCACUUACCAUUGAAGGGAAAGGCAGGUUAAAACCAAACACACCACUUACCAUUGAAGGGAAAGGCAGGUUAAAACCAAACACACCACAUACCAUUGAAGGGAAAGGCAGGUUAAAACCAAACACACCACUUACCAUUGAAGGGAAAGGCAGGUUAAAACCAAACACACCACUUACCAUUGAAGGGAAAGGCAGGUUAAAACCAAACACACCACUUACCAUUGAAGGGAAAGGCAGGUUAAAACCAAACACACCACUUACCAUUGAAGGGAAAGGCAGGUUAAAACCAAACACACCACUUACCAUUGAAGGGAAAGGCAGGUUAAAACCAAACACACCACUUACCAUUGAAGGGAAAGGCAGGUUAAAACCAAACACACCACUUACCAUUGAAGGGAAAGGCAGGUUAAAACCAAACACACCACUUACCAUUGAAGGGAAAGGCAGGUUAAAACCAAACACACCACUUACCAUUGAAGGGAAAGGCAGGUUAAAACCAAACACACCACAUACCAUUGAAGGGAAAGGCAGGUUAAAACCAAACACACCACUUACCAUUGAAGGGAAAGGCAGGUUAAAACCAAACACACCACUUACCAUUGAAGGGAAAGGCAGGUUAAAACCAAACACACCACUUACCAUUGAAGGGAAAGGCAGGUUAAAACCAAACACACCACUUACCAUUGAAGGGAAAGGCAGGUUAAAACCUAGUCAGUUGCACAACUGAAUGGAUUCUACCAAAAAUGUGUCUAAAUGUACAUUUAACUGAUCGUCUUGAUAGAAGCCUACAGAAAUUAUGGAUUAUACUAGUUUAUUUUGUGCCUUUAUUUAAUCAGGUAAGUCAUUAUGUUGUGCUAUACGUUUCCAGUUGAAGUGGCAGCAGACUGACCUGUCGUUCACUCCCUGAGCGAUGAAGCACACAGGAUAGUACCCUCCCUCCUCAUCCUCAGUGGGCGUCCAUCUUAGAAGGUACUCUCCUGGGACAGUGGUGUUCUCUGUGAUACUGGAAGGUCCGCUCACCAACAGCUCUGAA
Oncorhynchus keta (chum salmon) is the source of this 1141-nucleotide long non-coding RNA. RefSeq lists it as uncharacterized. Lineage: Eukaryota; Metazoa; Chordata; Actinopteri; Salmoniformes; Salmonidae. The transcript has 4 exons. The record is from RefSeq and is a predicted model, not a curated record.